GUAGGGUGCGAGCGUUAAUCGGAAUUACUGGGCGUAAAGUGUGCGCAGGUGGCUGAGCAAGUCGAGUGUGAAAUCCCCGGGCUUAACUUGGGAAUUGCGCUCGAAACUACUUGGCUCGAGUGUGGCAGAGGAAGGUGGAAUUCCACGUGUAGCGGUGAAAUGCGUAGAGAUGUGGAGGAACACCGAUGGCGAAGGCAGCCUUCUGGGCCAACACUGACGCUCAUGCACGAAAGCGUGGGGAGCAAACAGGAUUAGAUACCCUGGUAGUCCACGCCCUAAACGAUGAUGACUAGUUGUUGGGGGAGUUAAAUCCCUUAGUAACGCAGCUAACGCGUGAAGUCAUCCGCCUGGGGAGUACGGUCGCAAGAUUAAA
RNAcentral lists this ribosomal RNA (373 nucleotides) under uncultured bacterium. RNAcentral's name for it is "bacterial SSU rRNA". It matches the Rfam family "Bacterial small subunit ribosomal RNA", at positions 527 to 898 of the family's 1533-position model. The record is from RNAcentral.